AUGAGGCCGAAUCGCCUGCAAUGGACGCACUCGUAGAAAGCAUCGUACAGAGCGAUGCACGGGCCGAGCUCACGGCAGGACAGCUGCAAGCCCUCAUUGGACUUUUCACCUCGACCUCUGAGGUCCUGUCGCCGUCCCACGCGCUCUUCCGAAAGCUCUCCGCCACCCUUGCGGCCUUCCCCUCCCUAGAAGACGGAUCCCAGUGCAUUCGACUCUGCAUCCUCCUCUGUAGAGAGGUAGCGCACCGCAAAAUCAUUUUCGCACUUAUCGAGGCGCACAACAUAUGGGUGGAGUCCAUCGCAGCACCGAGCAUCUCCGCCCUGGCGACGUCGCACGCGAGGCACCGCAGCGGGACCACGUACGAGACGAGCGAAGAUCGAAGCUUCCUAUCUCAGCUGGUUCUCGUCAUGUUGGUCUCGGCCGAGUCGAGGAUGAAGGCGUCUGAUCUCGUAGAUUUCCUCGGUGCUGACGUCGAGAGCACUGUGGAGGUACUGGUGUCCUGCUACGGAAGCGUGUGCGGGGCCCUUCCAGGAGUACUCGCCGCCGCCUCCGGAGGCUACCAGCUUCAUCUGGUCGCCCGCCUCGUCGAGCUCGUUCGCGAGCUCACGUUCUGGACUACGUACGAGGAACUGCACUCGAACCUGGGGAUCGGCAGCAAGGCAAAAAAGUCUCUCUCACAGUGCACCGGUAGCGUUUCCAUGAGCGCCCUCUCUGGCCCAUUCCGCUACCACGUCGGCCAGCUCAUCUCCCACCUUGUGAGGUACGACUUCUUUGCUCACAUGAGUAUGUACUUGCCGCACGUCUUGGGAAAAUAUUUGGCCUCGCCCAGCAGCUGCAGCAGCAGCGACGGUGACGAGCGGAAUGUGUUGAUGGCCUUGUCCUUGCUGCGCAACCAUCUCCUGCUUCUCCAAACCCUGCUGAUGCUGACGGACCAGUAUGCGCUUGUUCUGCGCAAGGCGCUCUGCCGCUGCGGGCUCCUCAGCAAGGUAUGCGGCCCUCUCCUGCGCGUCUUGUGUAGACCACAAGGAUGUCUACCUGGCGAAUUGUCUCUGUUCGUGCAGACGGUGGCGGUCGCGUCAACGCUGACUUACCACAGCAGUGAGUGUCACCAGUUCUGGGGAGAGAACAGCAGUGUGCUGGUGGCAGCCGCAGACCGCUCCGCUGUUACUCUAGCAGAUAGCUGCAUUGCAGACCCGCGCACAUCUGCCGAGCUAGUGGCACAGCUGGUGCGCCUCGUCGUAAACUCUCGCUCCAGCGCCGCGGUGGCGCCGUUACUCAAGACAUGGGAGAGCGUCCUCGACUCCGGUGGCAAACAGUGCGUUGCUUGCAGCCUCAGCAAUCCCAAGAGUCGUAGCCGUCCGCUUGACAUCAGCAGUCCAUCAUACAAUUCACUGCGGUGCGUAUUUCGCGUGGACACCACAGCCCCACCGCCACCGCCUGCCGCCGCGCGGCGUGGCAGUGUCGGCGACCUGCUUCGUCAACGACGAAGAGGUCGACACAACCGAGAGCAGCGAAACUUGAGCCGCGGUCGCAGCCGUGGCAGAGCGCGCUCAAAGAGACGCCGCCGCCACGAGUCACAACAAGCGCGUCUUCAGCAACGCUAUCACCUCCUGGUGCAGUGCACAACACCCACGACUGCGGUGGCGCGGGAACAGACUCAGGUGCAGCUCGUCCCCCUUGAUUUCGUCAGUGAUGCCUCCUCCGACGAGAGCAGCGACGACAGAGACGAUGCGGCAGACGCUUACGAGUCGACUUGUGCUCCCCAGGUGGACCUCUCACGCUGGCGGAGAGGCCCACCGCCGACGACGAUUCCCACACAAUACAUCUGUUCUCUCUCCCACUCAUUGAUACGCUCGGCCCCGGUGUUGUCGUCCACCGGCUACCUCUUCGACGAAGACGUCAUUGUAGACUACUUGCAGUACUACGACGUCUGCCCCAUCUCUGGAGCGUCGAUGUCGCGUGCCGACUUGGUCGUGGACACGGCGCUCAAGGAGGAACUUGGGAAGGUUCGAGCCAACUUUAUGUAGCAGUUCAAUUUGUUCACAUGCAGGAGGUUUGUGGGCGUGUGGGAGUCUGCGCGCUGAGGCGCAAGUGGUGCCAGAAGUAGUGCGGGUAGACGUACGUAAACACCUACACACGCAUACCCCUUGCAGCGCUUCUCGACUUGCUACCCAGAGACACACGUCACUGCUCCUUUUUCUCUCUCGACAAACUCUGACCAUCAGCACCGCUGCGAUUUCGCCCAUCCGCACCACCUCUGCCAGGCCUUUUUUCUUUCGUACUGGGAUGAGGGGCGAUGCCCUGUCAAUGU
This 2311-nucleotide unclassified non-coding RNA is filed under the name Leishmania donovani. RNAcentral's name for it is "gene:LdHU3.26.2000(CDS-product:hypothetical_prote in_conserved)". The record is from RNAcentral. Lineage: Eukaryota; Euglenozoa; Kinetoplastea; Trypanosomatida; Trypanosomatidae.